This 87-nucleotide transfer RNA is filed under the name Caldifarciminota bacterium. RNAcentral's name for it is "tRNA-Ser". It matches the Rfam family "tRNA". Rfam says of the family: Transfer RNA (tRNA) molecules are approximately 80 nucleotides in length. Lineage: Bacteria; Pseudomonadati; Caldifarciminota. The record is from RNAcentral.
GGAGGGCUAGUCUAAUUGGUAAGGCAGCGGACUUGAAAUCCGCCGGCCCGGAAACGGGCCCUGGGGGUUCGAGUCCCCCGCCCUCCG